RNAcentral lists this non-coding RNA (30 nucleotides) under Rattus norvegicus (Norway rat). The record is from RNAcentral. Lineage: Eukaryota; Metazoa; Chordata; Mammalia; Rodentia; Muridae.
UAACCCUUGAACUUGAAGAAAGAAGUUCCA